AGUCGAGGGGCAGCAUUUCAGUUUGCUUGCAAACUGGAGAUGGCGACCGGCGCACGGGUGAGUAACACGCUAUCCAACCUGCCGAUAACUCGGGGAUAGCCUUUCGAAAGAAAGAUUAAUACCCGAUGGNAUAAUCAGACCGCAUGGUCUNAUUAUUAAAGAAUUUCGGUUAUCGAUGGGGAUGCGUUCCAUUAGGCAGUUGGUGAGGUAACGGCUCACCAAACCUUCGAUGGAUAGGGGUUCUGAGAGGAAGGUCCCCCACAUUGGAACUGAGACACGGUCCAAACUCAUACGGGAGGCAGCAGUGAGGAAUAUUGGUCAAUGGGCGCAGGCCUGAACCAGCCAAGUAGCGUGAAGGAUGACUGCCCUAUGGGUUGUAAACUUCUUUUAUAUGGGAAUAAAGUUUUCCACGUGUGGAAUUUUGUAUGUACCAUAUGAAUAAGGAUCGGCUAACUCCGUGCCAGCAGCCGCGGUAAUACGGAGGAUCCGAGCGUUAUCCGGAUUUAUUGGGUUUAAAGGGAGCGUAGGUGGACAGUUAAGUCAGUUGUGAAAGUUUGCGGCUCAACCGUAAAAUUGCAGUUGAUACUGGCUGUCUUGAGUACAGUAGAGGUGGGCGGAAUUCGUGGUGUAGCGGUGAAAUGCUUAGAUAUCACGAAGAACUCCGAUUGCGAAGGCAGCUCACUGGACUGCAACUGACACUGAUGCUCGAAAGUGUGGGUAUCAAACAGGAUUAGAUACCCUGGUAGUCCACACAGUAAACGAUGAAUACUCGCUGUUUGCGAUAUACAGUAAGCGGCCAAGCGAAAGCAUUAAGUAUUCCACCUGGGGAGUACGCCGGCAACGGUGAAACUCAAAGGAAUUGACGGGGGCCCGCACAAGCGGAGGAACAUGUGGUUUAAUUCGAUGAUACGCGAGGAACCUUACCCGGGCUUAAAUUGCAUUUGAAUAAUCUGGAAACAGNUUAGCCGCAAGGCAAAUGUGAAGGUGCUGCAUGGUUGUCGUCAGCUCGUGCCGUGAGGUGUCGGCUUAAGUGCCAUAACGAGCGCAACCCUUAUCUUUAGUUACUAACAGGUCAUGCUGAGGACUCUAGAGAGACUGCCGUCGUAAGAUGUGAGGAAGGUGGGGAUGACGUCAAAUCAGCACGGCCCUUACGUCCGGGGCUACACACGUGUUACAAUGGGGGGUACAGAAGGCAGCUACCUGGUGACAGGAUGCUAAUCCCAAAAGCCUCUCUCAGUUCGGAUCGAAGUCUGCAACCCGACUUCGUGAAGCUGGAUUCGCUAGUAAUCGCGCAUCAGCCAUGGCGCGGUGAAUACGUUCCCGGGCCUUGUUCNNANNGCCCGUCAAGCCAUGAAAGCCGGGGGUACCUGAAGUACGAACCGCAAGAG
RNAcentral lists this ribosomal RNA (1388 nucleotides) under bacterium NLAE-zl-P861. RNAcentral describes it as "16S ribosomal RNA". It matches the Rfam family "Bacterial small subunit ribosomal RNA". The record is from RNAcentral.